CGUGGGUAACCUGCCUUAUAGUGGGGGAUAGCCUUUCGAAAGGAAGAUUAAUACCGCAUAAGAUUGUAGUAUCGCAUGAUAUAGCAAUUAAAGGAGCAAUCCGCUAUAAGAUGGACCCGCGUCGCAUUAGCUAGUUGGUGAGGUGAUGGCUCACCAAGGCGACGAUGCGUAGCCGACCUGAGAGGGUGAUCGGCCACAUUGGGACUGGGACACGGCCCAGACUCCUACGGGAGGCAGCAUG
Molecule: ribosomal RNA, 241 nt
Filed under: uncultured bacterium
Lineage: Bacteria
Description: partial 16S ribosomal RNA
Rfam family: Bacterial small subunit ribosomal RNA
Source: RNAcentral